Molecule: ribosomal RNA, 483 nt
Filed under: uncultured bacterium
Lineage: Bacteria
Description: partial 16S ribosomal RNA
Rfam family: Bacterial small subunit ribosomal RNA
Source: RNAcentral
AUUGAACGCUGGCGGAAUGCUUUACACAUGCAAGUCGAACAGCAGCACGGGGGCAGCCCUGGUGGCGAGUGGCGAACGGGUGAGUAAUACAUCGGAACGUGCCCGGUCGUGGGGGAUAACGUAGCGAAAGUUACGCUAAUACCGCAUACGAUCUGAGGAUGAAAGCGGGGACCUUCGGGCCUCGCGCGAUCGGAGCGGCCGAUGUCAGAUUAGGUAGUUGGUGGGGUAAAGGCCUACCAAGCCGACGAUCUGUAGCUGGUCUGAGAGGACGACCAGCCACACUGGGACUGAGACACGGCCCAGACUCCUACGGGAGGCAGCAGUGGGGAAUUUUGGACAAUGGGCGCAAGCCUGAUCCAGCCAUUCCGCGUGCAGGACGAAGGCCUUCGGGUUGUAAACUGCUUUUGUACGGAACGAAAAGGCUCUGGCUAAUACCUGGGGCUCAUGACGGUACCGUAAGAAUAAGCACCGGCUAACUACGUG